RNAcentral lists this microRNA precursor (101 nucleotides) under Marmota monax (woodchuck). The record is from RNAcentral. Lineage: Eukaryota; Metazoa; Chordata; Mammalia; Rodentia; Sciuridae.
AUAUAAGUCAGUUAACCUGAGGAUCUUGUUAAAAUGCAGAUUGUGAGGAUGGGGCCUGACAGUCUGCAUUUCUAUCUAACAAGCUCCCAGGAUGCUCAUGU